AUUGAACGCUGGCGGCAUGCUUUACACAUGCAAGUCGAACGGCAGCGCGGGCUUCGGCCUGGCGGCGAGUGGCGAACGGGUGAGUAAUGCAUCGGAACGUGCCCAGUAGUGGGGGAUAGCCCGGCGAAAGCCGGAUUAAUACCGCAUACGACCUGAGGGUGAAAGCGGGGGACCGAAAGGCCUCGCGCUAUUGGAGCGGCCGAUGUCGGAUUAGCUAGUUGGUGGGGUAAAGGCUUACCAAGGCGACGAUCCGUAGCUGGUCUGAGAGGACGACCAGCCACACUGGGACUGAGACACGGCCCAGACUCCUACGGGAGGCAGCAGUGGGGAAUUUUGGACAAUGGGCGCAAGCCUGAUCCAGCCAUGCCGCGUGCAGGAUGAAGGCCUUCGGGUUGUAAACUGCUUUUGUACGGAACGAAAAGGUGCCUUCUAAUAAAGGGCGCUCAUGACGGUACCGGAAGAAUAAGCACCGGCUAACUACGUG
Molecule: ribosomal RNA, 484 nt
Filed under: uncultured bacterium
Lineage: Bacteria
Description: partial 16S ribosomal RNA
Rfam family: Bacterial small subunit ribosomal RNA
Source: RNAcentral